Molecule: ribosomal RNA, 620 nt
Filed under: Salmonella enterica
Lineage: Bacteria; Pseudomonadati; Pseudomonadota; Gammaproteobacteria; Enterobacterales; Enterobacteriaceae
Description: partial 23S ribosomal RNA
Rfam family: Bacterial large subunit ribosomal RNA
Source: RNAcentral
GUGAACCUUUACUAUAGCUUGACACUGAACACUGGUCCUUGAUGUGCAGGAUAGGUGGGAGGCUUUGAAGUGUGGACGCCAGUCUGCAUGGAGCCGUCCUUGAAAUACCACCCUUUAAUGGCUGGUGUUCUAACGUAGACCCGUGAACCGGGUUGCGGACAGUGUCUGGUGGGUAGUUUGACUGGGGCGGUCUCCUCCUAAAGCGUAACGGAGGAGCACGAAGGUUGGCUAAUCCUGGUCGGACAUCAGGAGGUUAGUGCAAUGGCAUAAGCCAGCUUGACUGCGAGCGUGACGGCGCGAGCAGGUGCGAAAGCAGGUCAUAGUGAUCCGGUGGUUCUGAAUGGAAGGGCCAUCGCUCAACGGAUAAAAGGUACUCCGGGGAUAACAGGCUGAUACCGCCCAAGAGUUCAUAUCGACGGCGGUGUUUGGCACCUCGAUGUCGGCUCAUCACAUCCUGGGGCUGAAGUAGGUCCCAAGGGUAUGGCUGUUCGCCAUUUAAAGUGGUACGCGAGCUGGGUUUAGAACGUCGUGAGACAGUUCGGUCCCUAUCUGCCGUGGGCGCUGGAGAACUGAGGGGGGCUGCUCCUAGUACGAGAGGACCGGAGUGGACGCAUCACUGG